CCUACGGGUGGCAGCAGUGAGGAAUAUUGGUCAAUGGGCGCGAGCCUGAACCAGCCAAGUAGCGUGAAGGAUGACUGCCCUACGGGUUGUAAACUUCUUUUAUAAAGGAAUAAAGUGAGGCACGUGUGCCUUUUUGUAUGUACUUUAUGAAUAAGGAUCGGCUAACUCCGUGCCAGCAGCCGCGGUAAUACGGAGGAUCCGAGCGUUAUCCGGAAUUAUUGGGUUUAAAGGGAGCGUAGAUGGGUUGUUAAGUCAGUUGUGAAAGUUUGCGGCUCAACCGUAAAAUUGCAAUUGAUACUGGCAGGCUUGAGUACAGUUGAGGUAGGCGGAAUUCGUGGUGUAGCGGUGAAAUGCUUAGAGAUGACGAAGAACUCCGAUUGCGAAGGCAGCUUACUAAACAGCCACUGACAUUGAUGUGCGAAAGUGUGGGUAUCAAACAGGAUUAGAUACCCCAGUAGUC
Molecule: ribosomal RNA, 460 nt
Filed under: uncultured bacterium
Lineage: Bacteria
Description: partial 16S ribosomal RNA
Rfam family: Bacterial small subunit ribosomal RNA
Source: RNAcentral